RNAcentral lists this ribosomal RNA (220 nucleotides) under uncultured bacterium. Its description in RNAcentral is "partial 16S ribosomal RNA". It matches the Rfam family "Bacterial small subunit ribosomal RNA", at positions 1281 to 1500 of the family's 1533-position model. The record is from RNAcentral.
GAACAUCUCAGUUCAGAUUGCAGGCUGCAACUCGCCUGCAUGAAGUCGGAAUUGCUAGUAAUCGUAGGUCAGCAUACUACGGUGAAUACGUUCCCGGGCCUUGUACACACCGCCCGUCAAACCAUGAGAGUUGGUAACACCCGAAGUCGGUAGUCUAACCGCAAGGAGGACGCCGCCGAAGGUGGGGUUGAUGAUUAGGGUUAAGUCGUAACAAGGUACC